AUGAAUAAAAGAAAAAAGAUGGUUAGGGGAGCCGCAGUUUUUGUCACACUUGCUGCAAUAGCAGUCAUUGUUCGAGCUUUAAUAAGGAAGAGAAGACCACGUAUUACAUAUGGCCCAAUGCAUGAAAGAGAUCAGGUCAGAUUUGAUUAUCCAGACCAAAAAAUUUGGCAAAGCGAUGUGUUGUGUAAAAACAUGUUAAGGUUUGAAAGAGCUGCGUUCUUUCGCUUGUGUGGCAUACUGAGAGAUAGGGAGUUACUAGAAGACAGUCCACAUCUUAGCGUGGAGCAACAAUUAGCGAUGUUUUUACAUACAAUUGGGCACAAUGUUCGGAAUAGGGUUAUUUCAGCCAAUUUUUGUAGAUCAUAUGGCACAACCAGCAUCUAUUUUAGAAAGGCUUUUCAUGCCAUAGGCGAGCUUCGUAGUGAUUACAUAAGGCCACCAUCAUUGGAGACCCCUGCCAAAAUUGCACAAUUAGGCUUGUCAUCUUGA
Molecule: ribosomal RNA, 489 nt
Filed under: Triticum aestivum (bread wheat)
Lineage: Eukaryota; Viridiplantae; Streptophyta; Magnoliopsida; Poales; Poaceae
Description: partial small subunit ribosomal RNA
Source: RNAcentral